Molecule: long non-coding RNA, 1986 nt
Organism: Sus scrofa (pig)
Lineage: Eukaryota; Metazoa; Chordata; Mammalia; Artiodactyla; Suidae
Source: RefSeq, a predicted model, not a curated record
CUACUGUGGUAAUCACUGCACAGCAUAUAUAAAUCAAACCAUCACGCUGUACACCUUAAACUUGUAUCAAUUACUUCUCAGUUUUACUGGGAGGUGGGGCGAGGGGAGGGGUGGUUUUCCAAUCAGCUAUAGGAAAUUCCUAGGGUGACAGCCUCAAACCACUUCCUCCUACCUGAGGUUGGUGGCAAAAUGGCUUGAACUAGGAUUUGCUUGGGGUGGAGGGAUUGUGUUGUAGUCCCAGCUCUGUCAUGUAUUUGCUGGACCACCCACAGAAGUAACACCUCUCCAAGUCUCCUCUGCAAAUGGAAAUUUGUUCAUCAAUCCAUUCAUUCCAUAGCUGCUUACUGAACACGUGCUAUGUGCCUGGCACUGUUGCAGGGACCAGGUUACCAUAAAGGACAAAAGAGCUGCACUCAGAGGUCAGUUCUAAGGCAGCACUGUCCCACAGAACUUUACAGAACGGUGGAACUGUUCUCUUAUCUUCACGGUCUGCUAUGGCAGCCAUGAGACACACGGAGCUACUGAGCACUGAUAUGUGAGCAGUGCGGCUAAGGGACAGAAUUUAAAAUUUUUACUAAGUAAUUAAAUUUGAAGUUCACGCUGUGGCGCAGUGGGUUAACGAUCCCUCCUGUCUCCGUGGCAUUGCCGGUUGGAUCCUCUACCCGGCGCAGUGGGUUAAAGGAUCCCGCAUUGCUGUAGCUGUGGCAUGGUUGUGGCCCCAGCUUAGACUUGAUCCCUGUCCGGAGAACUUCCAUAUGUCAGGGGUGCGGCCAAAAAGCAAACAAAAAAUUGUAAUUGAACGUUAAGGAGCCACAGGACACUAGAGGAUACUGAACUGGACAGCAUCAUAAAAAGCAGAUAAGGCCCCUCGUCCUAUCUUAUACAGUUUGUGGGUGUCCUCAGAGUGAGGAUAUAUCAUGCCUUUUUCAGUGCAAGCUACGGAAGGAAGGAAACUCCGCUGUGGGGACUUUUGAGACAGGGAGACUGUUGUUAAGGGCACAAGAGACGGAAGAAAACACUCCAAGUGGCGGGGCACGUGGUCUGGGAGCGCCUGCCCCGCAGGCAAGCUGAGGUCUCCCGGUGGAGCACAGCCUGUACUGAAAGAACAAAACGGAACUAAAUCUGUCCCAGAGACACCUGACUGCUUGCCUGCUCCCUUCUCUGCUGCACUUGGCCCCGGGUCCCUCCACCGCUUUCUUCCUGUGGUUCAAUAUCUGGACUUCAACUUCCCUUGAAAACAGGCAGGGCCAACCCACGUGGCUUCAUUCCACACAUACCCACUCUUUUCUCUGCCUCCCUCAGCCCUUUAUUCCAAAUCAAGCUGGUUUUCUCCUUAGCCAAGAUCACGGCGACAGCAGAUCUUCCUCUUUGCUUGCCACAGCGUUCUGAUUCUUGCCGUUUCCUUUCCCCUGGGUUUUCAGGGGCUUCAUGUGCGCUGAGACCACCCUUCAUAAAUAUACCGAACUCCUUACUGACAUCACCCACCCACCCACCUACUAGCCCACCUACAGCGGAGGCUGGAGGGCCAAGAGCCUUCUCCACCAUUUAAUCCUCGCAACUACAGCUGAUUGGACUGGAGGUAUGGUCCUGACGCAAAGUCAGCCAAUCGCGAGGUUUGCUGACAGCCUAUGAGGUGGCUUGACUUGAAUAGGUGAGCUGAGCCAAUCAGAUGCUCUCUUGUAGGACUGGUAAAUAAAUACCCAGAGAAUGCGAGAGUUAGGGGAGGUGAAGUUGAAAAGAAGUUCUGAGAUGGCAUCAGGACUACCAGAGGUCAUGGAAAGCCUGGCUUGUUGGGAAGCAGUCGUGCAGCAAAGAUGCAGGGAAGUGAUGAAAGAGACAAUAGCAGCUGGCCUGAUGACUCUCUAGUUCCAGCUCCCAGCCUUGUGACUGAAGACACCUGAGAAAUCUCUUGGCGUGUCCAGUUUACAAUGUAAAAUAACCAAGUGUGUGAUGGAGCAGGAAAAUGCAACACAUUCUCAAGAGAAA